This 496-nucleotide ribosomal RNA is filed under the name uncultured bacterium. RNAcentral's name for it is "partial 16S ribosomal RNA". It matches the Rfam family "Bacterial small subunit ribosomal RNA", at positions 29 to 507 of the family's 1533-position model. The record is from RNAcentral.
AUGCACGCUGGCGGCGUGCCUAAUCCAUGCCAGUCGCGCGAACAGACGAGGAGCUUGCUCCUCUGACGUUAGCGGCGGACGGGUGAGUAACACGUGGAUAACCUACCUAUAAGACUGGGAUAACUUCGGGAAACCGGAGCUAAUACCGGAUAAUAUAUUGAACCGCAUGGUUCAAUAGUGAAAGACGGUUUUGCUGUCACUUAUAGAUGGAUCCGCGCCGCAUUAGCUAGUUGGUAAGGUAACGGCUUACCAAGGCAACGAUGCGUAGCCGACCUGAGAGGGUGAUCGGCCACACUGGAACUGAGACACGGUCCAGACUCCUACGGGAGGCAGCAGUAGGGAAUCUUCCGCAAUGGGCGAAAGCCUGACGGAGCAACGCCGCGUGAGUGAUGAAGGUCUUCGGAUCGUAAAACUCUGUUAUUAGGGAAGAACAAAUGUGUAAGUAACUAUGCACGUCUUGACGGUACCUAAUCAGAAAGCCACGGCUAACUACGUG